AGAGUUUGAUCCUGGCUCAGGAUGAACGCUAGCGGCAGGCCUAACACAUGCAAGUCGAGGGGUAACAGGGAUUGCUUGCAAUCCGCUGACGACCGGCGCACGGGUGCGUAACGCGUAUACAAUCUGCCUCUUACUGCGAGAUAGCCCAGAGAAAUUUGGAUUAAUAUCGCAUGGUAUUAUAUUACGGCAUCGUAUUUAUAAUUAAAGGUUACGGUAAGAGAUGAGUAUGCGUCCUAUUAGAUAGUUGGUAAGGUAACGGCUUACCAAGUCAGCGAUAGGUAGGGGCCCUGAGAGGGGGAUCCCCCACACUGGUACUGAGACACGGACCAGACUCCUACGGGAGGCAGCAGUGAGGAAUAUUGGACAAUGGGGGCAAGCCUGAACCAGCCAUGCCGCGUGCAGGAAGACGGCCCUAUGGGUUGUAAACUGCUUUUAUUAGGGAAUAAACCCUCAUAUGUAUAUGGGGCUGAAGGUACCUAAAGAAUAAGCACCGGCUAACUCCGUGCCAGCAGCCGCGGUAAUACGGAGGGUGCAAGCGUUAUCCGGAUUUAUUGGGUUUAAAGGGUGCGCAGGCGGGCCUAUCAGUCAGUGGUGAAAUCUCCCGGCUUAACCGGGAAACUGCCAUUGAUACUGUAGGUCUUGAGUUUGGUUGAAGUGGGCGGAAUGUAGCAUGUAGCGGUGAAAUGCAUAGAUAUGCUACAGAACACCGAUCGCGAAGGCAGCUCACUAAACCAAAACUGACGCUCAGGCACGAAAGCGUGGGUAGCGAACAGGAUUAGAUACCCUGGUAGUCCACGCCGUAAACGAUGAUCACUCGUUGUUGGCGACACACAGUCAGUGACCAAGCGAAAGCGAUAAGUGAUCCACCUGGGGAGUACGUUCGCAAGAAUGAAACUCAAAGGGAAUUGACGGGGGCCCGCACAAGCGGUGGAGCAUGUGGUUUAAUUCGAUGAUACGCGAGGAACCUUACCUGGGCUCAAAUGUAAGUUGACGUAGGGUGAAAGCCAUAUUUCUUCGGACAAUUUACAAGGUGCUGCAUGGUUGUCGUCAGCUCGUGCCGUGAGGUGUCGGGUUAAGUCCCAUAACGAGCGCAACCCCUAUUCUUAGUUGCCAUCAGGUCAUGCUGGGGACUCUAGGAAAACUGCCUACGCAAGUAGAGAGGAAGGUGGGGAUGACGUCAAAUCAGCACGGCCCUUACGUCCAGGGCUACACACGUGCUACAAUGGCCGGUACAGAGGGCAGCCACCCCGUGAGGGGGAGCGAAUCUCGAAAGCCGGUCUCAGUUCGGAUCGAAGUCUGCAACCCGACUUCGUGAAGCUGGAAUCGCUAGUAAUCGCGCAUCAGCCAUGGCGCGGUGAAUACGUUCCCGGGCCUUGUACACACCGCCCGUCAAGCCAUGGAAGCUGGGAGUACCUGAAGUCGGUAACCGUUAAGGAGCUGCCUAGGGUAAAACUAGUGACUGGGGCUAAGUCGUAACAAGGUA
This 1483-nucleotide ribosomal RNA is filed under the name uncultured bacterium. RNAcentral describes it as "partial 16S ribosomal RNA". It matches the Rfam family "Bacterial small subunit ribosomal RNA". The record is from RNAcentral.